Anguilla anguilla (European eel) is the source of this 962-nucleotide long non-coding RNA. RefSeq lists it as uncharacterized. The record is from RefSeq and is a predicted model, not a curated record. NCBI's taxonomy places the organism in Eukaryota, Metazoa, Chordata, Actinopteri, Anguilliformes, Anguillidae. The transcript is spliced from 3 exons.
UUGGCUGUUUGCUGUCAGUACCAUGUUUGUGUAGGCUUUAUGUACAUUCUUUUGACUUACUCAUGCUUACCAUGCUUGUCUGCUCAGGGUACGCAACAUUAUCAUAUAUUGCCUUCCAUCAGCAUGUGAUCAUAUUUUGAUGCUGUUGUCCUCACAUGACGUACUUGAAGGUGAAACAUCAUUGAUGGUGGGAGACAAUUCCAUUCCUUUUAGCUGACGUCAUGUUGCUUGGAGUCUUUCCAUCAACAAAAGGAGAUUCCAGAUACCGGAGAUUCCAGUACCUGGAAUUGCUCUCUAGGUGAUUUACGCCUCCAGACUGUCAACUCUUUUCAUUGUUGUAAAGUUGCUCUACCUGGAUGAACUGGUUUUCUUUUAUAGUGUUUAUCUCUUUACAAAAGGAUUGGAGUUUUCUCGUUAUAUCCGCAAUCUGAAUUCUGUUCUUUUGAAUCAUGCACUCCAGUUUGUCAGGCCUGGUGCUACUAGGUUGUGACAGUGUGGAGAAAAUGUCAUGGGGGGCCCAACCCAUUCUUACCUCUCUCACUUAGAGGGGAUUUGCUUGGUGUAAUAAGCAGGGGAGGGAAGUCAUCCUCAUCCAUGAUGCUGAUCCAACAUGUUCUGUGUCACGUUCUGGCAGAAUAAUGGUAAAUAUACUAACUGUGCAGAUUAUUGUAAUAUUGCAGUGUGCGGGUUAUUGUAAUAUUGCAGUGUGCGGGUUAUUGUAAUAUUACAGUAUACUGCUUUCUCCGCAUCCAGCGAAGGGGCAAUGCUUAGGCAUUUUCAACUUAGCUUGCCUUACUCGCACAAAAGUGACAAGAGCAUCAUUUACUUUGACUUAAGAUUUUUAUUAUGUGACUAAUACCCUGUUAACCUCAUCCACUGAAGACCUGGCAUUAACCAAGGGGAAAAGCAAGCCAAUUUCAGCACAAGCUUUUCUAUGUUUGUUUGCCUAUUUAUUUAUUUAU